ACUUUCAACAACGGAUCUCUUGGUUCUCCCAUCGAUGAAGAACGCAGCGAAAUGCGAUAAGUAGUGUGAAUUGCAGAAUUCAGUGAAUCAUCGAAUCUUUGAACGCACAUUGCGCCCCACGGUAUUCCGCGGGGCAUGCCUGUUCGAGCGUCAUCAACAC
RNAcentral lists this ribosomal RNA (160 nucleotides) under Tarzetta catinus. Its description in RNAcentral is "5.8S ribosomal RNA". It matches the Rfam family "5.8S ribosomal RNA". From Rfam's summary of the family: 5.8S ribosomal RNA (5.8S rRNA) is a component of the large subunit of the eukaryotic ribosome. It is transcribed by RNA polymerase I as part of the 45S precursor that also contains 18S and 28S rRNA. The record is from RNAcentral. Lineage: Eukaryota; Fungi; Ascomycota; Pezizomycetes; Pezizales; Tarzettaceae.